CAGUCCCGCGGUAAUACGUAGGGUGCAAGCGUUAUCCGGAAUUAUUGGGCGUAAAGAGCUCGUAGGCGGUUUGUCGCGUCUGCUGUGAAAACUGGAGGCUCAACCUCCAGCCUGCAGUGGGUACGGGCAGACUAGAGUGCGGUAGGGGAGAUUGGAAUUCCUGGUGUAGCGGUGGAAUGCGCAGAUAUCAGGAGGAACACCGAUGGCGAAGGCAGAUCUCUGGGCCGUAACUGACGCUGAGGUGCGAAAGCGUGGGGAGCAAACAGGAUUAGAUACCCGUGUAGUCCUGUCUCUUAUACAC
This 301-nucleotide ribosomal RNA is filed under the name uncultured bacterium. RNAcentral describes it as "partial 16S ribosomal RNA". It matches the Rfam family "Bacterial small subunit ribosomal RNA", at positions 512 to 810 of the family's 1533-position model. The record is from RNAcentral.